Molecule: long non-coding RNA, 4986 nt
Organism: Xiphias gladius (swordfish)
Lineage: Eukaryota; Metazoa; Chordata; Actinopteri; Istiophoriformes; Xiphiidae
Exons: 3
Source: RefSeq, a predicted model, not a curated record
GAAGGACGUCCAUUACUCACUGGGAAACUCCAUAGCGGUAUCUGCAUAGACCUUCACUGGGUCCUCGCGGUUUCUCCCAUAGGUCCGUCUAUUGCCCAUUAAUUGGAAACGAAGCUCUUCUGAGGAUCUCUUGCACUUAUCCGGUUUUGGGCUCGCAGCCACCUAGGUCUACUCCUCUGGCGCGACACAAGACAGGAAGCUGACAUAAAAGAAUGAGGUGACCGGCUGUAAGCAACACAGGAGCCAAGGCAGGAGCCGAGACAGUAGCCACUGACGAGGUCGGAAGUUAUUGUCUCAGCUUACAGGCUUCCACAGUGACAAGAAUCUUAUCACUCCAUUGAACUUAUGUGAUCCCAUGGUGAUGGCCCCAAGUGUGGAGAGCAUUCCAGGACAGGAACCUCAUAAGUGGAGUUUCUCCCUGACCACAGGCUUUCAUAUAGCCUAUGAGUUAAGUAUUUAACUACCUUAAUACUGUAGUUGAGCUGCUUGCUGGCCAACAACACUGUGGUGCCAAAAAAAGACAACAGGUGUGUAACUGUAUAGACCACUUCUCUUACAACUAUUCCUGAAGAAUGUAAAGAGAGUUAUUUCAACUUCCCUGGCUAAAAUUGGGUUAACAAGACUGAGGGUCCGUCCCAGUACCUACAAUGUGUGCUCACGUGCCGUCAAGUAGUAUCAAAACAAGCUACAUGAUACUGCCAAAAUGAUAACAUGUGCACAAUGAAAAUGCCAACAUGCUGAUGUUUAGAGGGUAUAAGUUGCCAUGUUCACCACUUUAGUUUGGGAUGUUAGCAUGUUAACUUUUGCUGAUUAUCAGUUAACAGUAUGUACACCUCAGGCUUAUGGGAAUGUCAUUAGUUUUGCAGUCAUAAACCAAAGAAUUCAACAAAUUAAAAUGUUGACCCGAUUGUGGUGCUAGAGCAAUAUUUUAUUCAUCUCCUGGGCUCAGUUGACAUCUGUCCCAAAUUUCAUGGCAAUCCAACCUAUGCUUGUCAAGACAUUUCACUAAAAAAAGUCCAUCUGCUGGUGGCACUAGAGCACUAGAGAAAAAGUCAGGAAUUAACCAAAAUUGGUGGGUUUCAUCCUAAACAAAAUUUCAUUGCAAUCUAUACAGUAGCUGAGAUAUUUCAGUCUGAAUCAAAGCAGUGGAUCGACUGACCGACAUUACCAUGCAUAGGGCCACAGAAGGAGAAAGACUAAGACUAUUAAACCAAUUCCUUGUCCAGCGGUUUCCAACACUUUCUCUCAAAACUGAGAAUACUUCUGUUUUCUACUCAGCCAAAUAUUUCAUUAAUCAAAUAUUUCUGGCAUCUUGUUUUAAAUAAUCCCCAUUAUAUGGCUAGAAUACAAUCAAUUCUUACUUCAAAGAACUCAACCCAAGGCUGACACUCAACAUCCUUGCCUUUCUGGUUCAUUUACAAAGCACUGCUCUUGAAAAAGACUUAACCAUACCUGCCUUAUAUACUGUAAAAUUUAGCCCUUAAAUACCAAAAAUAUCACAUCCUCUCUCUGACCCUGCUCCCCCUUUUUCACCUUUGCCAAGACACAAGAAUAUGUCCCUUAUGUCUUAGGUCUUCAGAUAUUUCCCUACUCGGCCCAGUGAGCAAUUCUUUGGCUGUACCAUCAGGUUUUUUUCUCCUGGUCUGGUAUUCUUCCUGUUGCCAAACUGCCUUGUGUGGUAUUUUUUCUGGCCUAGCUGCCCCUGGCAUCACACCUUCUGUUCUUCUCUCAUCACUUGUCAUUUCCACUUCAUGAGCCCCCCCCCCACCGCACCACAUCGCACCCCACACACACCCAUUUGGCUGUCCUGUCUGCUAUUUCCCUGACUGUAUGCCCUGUACUUCUUGAGACUGCAUGUUUUACGUCCUAACUCAACCUUUCACCUACAUUCAUAUUCUGUACUAUGGCGAUAUGAAUAUAAAUUGAAAGAGCCCUUAGAUGUGCACACAUUGAUUUUAACUCUUAGUUUGCUGGAUUGGUUUCUUACACUUUAAUGUUCAAGAAAAAAAAAAAGACAGUAGACAAUUGUCCUAUUGUCUAACAUUAAGUGAUAAUCUGAUUACUCCAGCAUAUAUGUGCUUUCCGAUUUUUACAGCCAGAGUAAAUGGAGAAAAACACUAGAGCAUUAUUCUAAGCUAAACAUCUCCCUUGUGCCUUGCUCUCAUUUACCUUUCUCCAUUUGCACCAAAGGAAAAAAAGAAAUACUUUAUAUUCCACUGUAACUUCACUUUUUGGAUUCACCAUGUGCGCCACUUGCUUUCUUAUCUAAUCGACCAUGUUUUUUUUUUUCUUACUGGAUCAGCUCCACACAACUGCCUGGCUGCACUACAAAGGAACAUUCUUGCCAUUAGGUCUGCCACAUGUCAACCCCCUCCAUUUGAGUAUUUAGAAUUCUUGUGUUUCUUGUAGGAGUGUGUCAGGUAACCUGGUCUCAGACACUCAGCUGUUCAACAAAAUUGUUGGGACUUCUGUCUAGAAAAGGGACACUGUAGACCCCUCUUAAAACAAGACCUCAUGCUAGUGCAGCCAAGCAAACAUCUGAGAGGUGAGUGACCCUAAUACCAGCAAAACAGUAUGCUGGGACCAGGUGAAAGUUUUUACAGUCACAUGAGGCAAGGUGCAAAUGGGUCUUAAACUGUCUGGGAACAGAGAUCAGAAUGUCAGAACGACCUUGUAACAUGGCACAGCCAGGUGAACGGACAACCUACAUGGAAACGGUCAGACCUGGAAAUGCCUUUUGGACGAGAAGUGAAACGCCUUCAAGAACCUUAGCAAGUCCAGUUGCCUUUAACUUUACACUUCUAGAUAUACCAUAACCUGGAUGACAGACAAUCCUGAUGGAGGUCAGUGCUCUCAGUUGCAAUGAUUGGGACAACUCAAGUGCUGUGUGUGAAAAAUGGUAUGAUUUUUUUGAACGCUGUCUCCUAGAAAUGAGAUUUUUAUACAACCAAUUUGUUUUCCCAAACAUGUAAAGAAGGAAACAUAAUUGCCUCCUUGGAUUUUCUUGAGUGAAGUGUUACGUAUGCAUACUGCACAGAAGUAGUAGAAAUAUGACUGGGUGGAUGGUAGACAUACAAACCCAGGACUUUGACACUUUGAUAGGGGGGUCACCCUGUUGUUAGAUUUAGGUAACAGAAGUACUUAGGUUAAGGUUAGGCAAAGAUCCUGUUUUGGUUAAAUUUUAAUAAACAGCGGUCUCAUGCUUCAAGUCACAUUUGACUUUUUCAAUAUUUAACCAAUCUUUCCCAAACCUUGAUAAAGUGGUGUGACUGCCUAACAUAUUCUGUUGCAAGAGGCGAUGUUGUAGGGAAAACAAAUUAAAUGUGUUGUCAGUUUUAUGCAGAUUAAUUCUGUGUCAACAUUGUGCCAUGUACCGGAUACAUUAAUUGACAUCAUCUCCUCAUUAUGUUUAUAAAAAACAAUCCAGGUUGCAUCCCGUUGGCAGUGGAAGGGUUCAAAUAUCUCACAGUCAUAUUCACUAGCAAGGAUUAUCCAACUAACUGCCAACUGGAAUCACUUUGUGUGACCAAUAAUAAAGCAUGGACCCUCAGCAAUCUAAGACCUUGGUUUUGGAAUGUUUCUCUUCUAUGUUGAGAGGCGCCAACUAAGGGAGACAUCAAACAACAAACAAACAUUAUCUGGUGGGCCAUGCCAAGAUCAACACUUGCAUCACACACACACGCAUGCAUACACACACACAGAACAUUUGAUACAACACAUGAAAGGAUUAACCACACUGAUACAACUGAUCGCAUGGAGGUUAGGGAGAAGGUAAACAUGCCCAAUGUCUUAAAUAUGAUUUAGAAACCAUUAAUAAACAUUUCAACUGGCCACUCAUGGGAGGCACAGCAGCCAAAAUGCAAUACUACUGAAACUGGAUGGCUGAAACUAAAAUUGGUAUACCUGGUCUUAUCUGCAGGAAAAGCUUUGACAUGCCUGUUACACUAUGAACAAUAACUUAAUAGAGGCACACAAUCUGAAACGGUAUCAAAACCCCAUUUGAAAUAUGUGCAAUGAAAUUCAUAUGCAAAUAAAUACAUUUUAUGAAGUGUUGAGCAUAAUCAAAAACAUGACGGCACAAUGAGACAUUUGCCAUGAAACCUAUUCAAAUUUCCCACUUACGUCUAAGUGACACACAGUCAGUUCUUGUGCUAGAUCAGAUACUGCUAAUUUUACAACAGUAUUAAAACAGAACCAAAGCGUCCCAAAAUCUUAAACCACAGAUGUAAAUUUUUAGGCUUCUAAACAUAACUAGAAUCACAUAGCUGUUCAAACCACAAACUUACCACAUUAUGCACCAAAGCCUAACACCACAGAAGUUAAUGUAACUGCUCAGUUGCAACUAUUCCAUUCACAAAAUUCCUGUCGUACAAGAGAACAACAUGUUCUUUGCUGAUCUGUGGAGCACUUAAAAGAAAAUAAUUUUGGAUGAGAAAAAGGUCAAAAUACUCUAGGUCCAGAAAGAUCCUCUUCAGAAUGCAAUUGUAAAUUAUAUUAUUACAAUGGCUUUUUUUCAGGGAUAAAGAUCAAGAAUGACUGUAGUUGUGAUGUCAAGGAAUAAGACACUUCAGCGUGAAACCUACCCGGUUUCCCAUUUGGUCUGUCAUAUUUCCUCUCACGGGACUAGACAAGUGUUUCUGCUGCAGACAGGGGACACAAAGCACAUAGAGUGCAUGGCUGCGAAGCUGUCCCAUUCUUACCCCAAUGUCUGUUUAUUCUAGUAUGCUUGUUGCCUCCGAGAUAUUUUAAGUUCCAUUGUAGUUCUUCGAACUCUUUGUAGAAAUUCCUCAUGGGUUUGUUUUCAUGGCUACCAAUUUUAAUGGCUGAAUGAAAAACUACCCAUUCUUCAGUCAGGAUGAAACUAAUACUUGUCUGUCUCAGAUGAGAAACACAUUUAUAAAUAGGAUUUCUAUCACGCCAUCUCAUAAACAUUUAAAAGUGCUGCUGUAACUUAAAAAAAAACAAACAAGCCAAUUCUGUACAUGG